Molecule: ribosomal RNA, 424 nt
Filed under: uncultured bacterium
Lineage: Bacteria
Also listed under: 1 other name
Description: bacterial SSU rRNA
Rfam family: Bacterial small subunit ribosomal RNA
Source: RNAcentral
UGAGGAAUAUUGGACAAUGGGUGGAAGCCUGAUCCAGCCAUCCCGCGUGCAGGAAGACGGCCCUAUGGGUUGUAAACUGCUUUUAUCUGGGGAUAAACCUACUUACGUGUAAGUAGCUGAAGGUACCAGAAGAAUAAGCACCGGCUAACUCCGUGCCAGCAGCCGCGGUAAUACGGAGGGUGCAAGCGUUAUCCGGAUUUAUUGGGUUUAAAGGGUCCGUAGGCGGACUGAUAAGUCAGUGGUGAAAUCCGACAGCUUAACUGUCGAACUGCCAUUGAUACUGUUAGUCUUGAGUAAGGUUGAAGUGGCUGGAAUAAGUAGUGUAGCGGUGAAAUGCAUAGAUAUUACUUAGAACACCAAUUGCGAAGGCAGGUCACUAAGUCUUAACUGACGCUGAUGGACGAAAGCGUGGGGAGCGAACAGG